CCUACGAGAGGCAGCAGUCGAGAAUCAUUCACAAUGGGGGAAACCCUGAUGGUGCGACGCCGCGUGGGGGAAUGAAGGUCUUCGUAUUGUAAACCCCUGUCGUGUGGGAGCCAAUUACAAAGCUAGUACAACACGAGGCAGAGACGGCUAACUCUGUGACAGCAGCCGCGGUAAUACAGAGGUCUCAAGCGUUGUUCGGAAUCAAUGGGCGUAAAGCGUGCGUAGGCUGUUGAGUAGGUCGUGUGUGAAAGGCGCGGGCUCAACCCGCGGACGGCACAUGAUACUGGGAGACUAGAGUAAUGGAGGGGGAACCGGAAUUCGCGGUGUAGCAGUGAAAUGCGUAGAUAUCGAGAGGAACACUCGUGGCGAAGGCGGGUUCCUGGACAUUAACUGACGCUGAGGCACGAAGGCCAGGGGAGCGAAAGGGAUUAGAUACCCUAGUAGUC
RNAcentral lists this ribosomal RNA (446 nucleotides) under uncultured bacterium. RNAcentral's name for it is "partial 16S ribosomal RNA". It matches the Rfam family "Bacterial small subunit ribosomal RNA", at positions 338 to 795 of the family's 1533-position model. The record is from RNAcentral.